Pterulicium gracile is the source of this 84-nucleotide non-coding RNA. The record is from the annotation of a GenBank genome assembly. Lineage: Eukaryota; Fungi; Basidiomycota; Agaricomycetes; Agaricales; Pterulaceae.
GCCGGAAUAGCUCAGCUGGGAGAGCAGCAGACUGAAGCGCAACGCGUUUUCUGAAGGUCCUGUGUUCAAUCCACAGUUCUGGCA